Molecule: long non-coding RNA, 1428 nt
Filed under: Camarhynchus parvulus
Lineage: Eukaryota; Metazoa; Chordata; Aves; Passeriformes; Thraupidae
Description: lncRNA (ENSCPVG00000018298.1)
Source: RNAcentral
UCCCAAUUCCCUUGGUCAUUAGCAUCUGACAUGUCUGAGAACCACAACAGCAUUGAAUGCACGCUGGGAGCUGACAGAGCCCAGAGUGCAGCCCCUGUUCUCUGCUGCACUGCUGGCGCUGGCGCUGGCGGGGGUGGGCGGGAGGAUGCCUGGAGCACAGGGUCCCCACGGCAGCCUGGCUGCUGGGGCCACUCUGCCAUCUCCCUUGCACCCAGAGACACUGCCUGGCAGCCCGAGGCAGCAGAGAAACCGCAGUGCUGGAGAGGGGGGCUGCACACGCAGGGAGGUGACCGCGUGUGGCUUCGGCACGGCCGCGCUGCCCCUGCCCCGCGGCAGCCGGGAGGGCCCACGUGUCCCCCACAGCAGGGACAGGGAUGGGGGGCUGUGCCACGGCUGCCCCGGAGGAAAUGGGCCGGGAAAGGGCUCGGGGAGGCAAACGGCCGCGGGAGUUUGGUUAGCUGCACCCCAGGCUGGCGAGAGGCCCCUGUUUCCCCCGCGCCCGCUGUCCCGCCGAGAUUAGCGCUCGGCUGGCUGGGCUUGACGGGCAGGCGGAAGGGGCCGCGCACACGAGCACAGCGGGGCCGCCCGGAAACACGGGAAAAACGGGCACCGGGCUGCUCCUUCCCUCUGCAAACCGGGCACCGGGCCGCUCCUUCCCUCUGCAAACCGGGCACCGGGCUGCUCCUUCCCUCUGCAGAGCAGGCACUGGGCCGCUCCUUUCCUCUGCAAACCGGGCACUGGGCCUCUUCUUCUCUCUGCAAACCGGGCACCGGGCCGCUCCUUCCCUCUGCAAACUGGGCACCAGCGGGCUGCUCCUUUCCUGCAAACCGGGCACGGCCCUCCUUCCUCUGGCCGUGCCAGCUCCGUCCCUCUGCCAAACCGGGCACCGGGCUGGCUUCCCUGGGCCAGCCCCGUGGCCAUCCCCCCUGUGCCUGCUGGCCCCAGGGCCUGGGGCCAUCACCCCUUGCGGGGCCAGGCCUGGGCUGUGCUGUGCAGGAGGGCCGUGGCUGCCAUGGCUCUCCCAGAGCCAUCCUUGCUCCUGGCCUGCAGGAAGGCCAUGGCUGCCACAGCUCUCCCAGAUCCAUCCUUGCUCCUGGCCGGCCACAUCGGGAGGGUGACCCGAUUCCCUCAUGGCUGGUGUCACCCGUGCCGGUGCCACUAGAGCUGGCUCCCCCUCCAUCCCUUCCCCACGGGGCUGCCAGCUCGGCUCAUGCCCAGCCAAGCGCGGGGGAUGAAGGGGCGCUGGUGGCUCCCCAGGAGCGCUGGUGGCAGCAGCGAGGUCAGGCCAUGGCGCAAAUGCCGCCGAUCAGAGCCGCCCGUGGGGACCAUGGAGCAGCACGGAGGUGACCCCUGCUCUCGGGGUCAGCGGGCUCGGCGUGCGUCAGCCCCGAGCAGCUUAAUCCCAACCGGGCAGGGGGAGGAGCGCGG